UUCUGUUCUAAAUCAGAGCACAAAGAAUAAACUUCCAGGGUCACCCACCAGAUGACAGAGCCACCCAAUGGGAAUCACCCACAUCGUUUGUGAGCUCAAAGCCCCAAGCAUACGUCUGACCAGAAAAAUAAAAGGCAAAUGGGAAAAGCGCUGAGCCAGAGGAACCAAAGACUGAGCUCUCUCCUCAUUUAACACAGGGAUCUCCAAUGAGAAUGCCUUCCACGCUUGUUACUCCUAAGAGUGAUGGCUGCUAAGGCCAGAGGUGGGCCUGGGGACUGUGUGGUGCUGAGCUGUCAGCAAGGCCAUUCUUACCUACAUUCACCUGCAUUUCAGAAGCCUGGAAAUUAGCAGAACUCCAGCGUCACUCAGCAGAAGCUUAUCCUUCUGCAUUAAAGUAGUAGCUGAAAGAGCUGCCAUCUUAGGUUAAGAUGUUUAGCCUGCCUAAAACAGUGUAUUUCUGAGGAAGAGUACAUAUCGCUCAUUUAUACUCCCUUUUUACCUUAGUAUUGUGUACGUUUCAGACCUUUCCUAAGGGACAUGUGUAGAAGAGAAGUUUCUCCAGGAGUCGAGAGGGGGAUUCGCUGAAGAGCUUGGACACUGAGGCGCUGCAGAGCGUGCUGUGCUCGCCAGUGUCCAUGGGCUCCUUCCACGGUUAGGUGGGUGGCAUGCUGGUUGUAGCCAAGGGCAUCGCACUUCUGAUUCAGGCAGUUAAGAACCUGGUGCUCCUUCUACUCUUUCUCUUCUGUCCACAUGACUAGAAGUACCUGAGCCAACCCAGAUCACAAAGCCACACUAUGAUCUGAGUCACUGCUUGGAGGACAACUGUCAUGGAGCCACCCAGUUCUCAACAGACUUUGCACACCUGAGAAACACACUUGUAUUCAGUUAUUGGAAUUUGAGGACUAUUUGUUAUAACAGCUAGCGUGAAUUACUAUAACUAAUACAAAAGAGAAAUUGGAAAGGCUAGUCAAAAUGUAUCCACAGUCGUUUCCAUAGCCGCUGCACUGAGCUACAGGAAGUGGAAGCUGUGGCUAUUCCACCCCUGUAACUGCUAUCCCCAGGUCCUGAGAUAAUGUCCACCUGUUCUUUGAGAUGAUGUCACCCAGAUCUCCAGAUCUUGAGGACCCAUCUGGAAUGUGGCCCCCUCCACUGAAGAACCCACAUGGUUGCCACGGUUUUCCCUCAUCACCGGCACAUUAACAGGUGGCCACUGCCCCCAGCCAGAAUGAACAGGACCAGGGACUCUCUGGGGGGUCUGGCAGGAACCACGGCUGUGGCUGAGGAAGCGCUCUGGUAUGUAUCAAGUGCAGCGUGAGUCCUGACUCGUGAGGCUGCCCCAGAUCCAAUGCAUAAAAGGGAGAAUCCAGUUGGCCUCACUGUGGUAACAUGCCUACCGCUUGGCCAGGGAGAGCAGGGCGCCUUGAUUGACAGUCUACCAUGCGGAUGAGCUAAUUCCCUGGAAUGCACAGGAGGGGGAUGAGGUCAUUUCCUGGAAAGGAAAUGGGGUGCUAUUAGCAUGAACGGGGAGCAGCAAAAACAACAAAUGUCCAUUCCACCUGCUUUCUAAGUUCAUAGAUUUGAUUUUAGCCCAAGACUCCUGGAGACUGAUGCUGUCAUUCAAAGGCUUGGCAUCCAUGGAAAGGCGGAAAAGCAUGCCCUGGUCAGGUGGUAAAGAAAGAACACCACUCCGCAGCGUCCUGACACUGGAAACUGAUGACAGACCUGGAUGCUCAUUUCCUCCUGUGAAAUUACUCCUCUCCUAUUUCAGAAAUGAGGAAGGAGGGGCAAAGAUGGGAAAACUGCCCAACAUCAUCAGCUAAGCAGAAACCUGCCAUGCAUCUGAGAUCUCUGUCUUAAGGCUCAAUCUCCCGACCCCAUGCAUCUCGCUCAGUCACCUUCCGCUGCUGACAGGAGGGUCCUGGGGGGCUGAGGGCCUCACUACCACUGGAACCAUUUCUGAAAGCAAGCAUCCUCCUGGGGUAGGGGUAUGGGGCCUGGCUGUAGGCUUGACUUGAGGCUGACUGUUCCUGUCAAGGCUGGGGAGGGAGGGGACCAGGAAGCGGGUCGGGAAUGGGAAGGAACCCAGCAUGACAGAUUUCAAAGGUGACAAUAUUUUCCUGAAAAUAUAGUGUCUGUGUGCAGUAGGUUUUGAUAUAACUAACCUUCUGUCUUGAGUUGGAGCUGGGAAUGGAUUCUUUUUUUUUACAGGAAAAGGAAAUGCACAGGUGUGGAGCUGCCAACAGCAAAGGAAGCUCUCAGGUGACUUGUCAUGGUGCAAUUUAUAGCCCCAAGUCUCAGAAGGGCUGUGGCGGGCUGAGGAGAGGGUAUGAAUUGCUGACAGUGGAGCCUGGCAUCUGGCACCCAUCCACGCCACUGAGCUCAGCAUGCACGUGUGUCGCCAGGACACAACCGCAUCAGGGCCAUUGAAGUGAAAAGGGCAGAAGGCAAGUGCACUCAUCCAGAGGGGACAUAAAAACGGAACCCGGAAAGCAACAGAGAGGGAUUGUGGGGAAGGGGAGCUGGCUCCAGGUGAGGGGCCUCCCAUGACCUCUCCGAGACCCGACUUGCCACAGCUAAUUGGACCUGCCCUCUGCUCCUGAAACACACAUAGCAUGGAUGCUGGCAAGGUCUUCCUUCCAAGAGAAGAACGUCCCGUUGGCUGUCAGGCCAGCUCUUCUGGGAAGUGGACAAAAGGGCCUCAAGGGACAUUAAUCAAAUAACUUAACUCCCACCCUGUCCCCGAGGCUUUCCCCAGAGCCACAGAGACCAGAGGAAGCGGCUGGAAGACUCUGCGAGAGCCCAUUAGGCAGCAAGGCCUGACAGUCCACACAGCGUCCCGGGGCGAGGGCCACAGCCGUGUUUACAGAGCCCGGGGGCCCUGCCAGCGCUAACAUGCCACAUGCUCGGCCCAUCUGGGCAGGCUGGAAAAAGUCGACCAUUUUCCUCUGGAUCCCGAUGGCUGUGGCUCAAAACAUUCUGCACAGCUACAUUUGCUUCCCUCCCCUCACAUCCCUUCAGAAAACCCACACAUCUGCAUACACACUUGAAAAUAAAUACGCAUAAAUGCAGAAUCCACGUUGAAGGUGGGGGCGGGACAGACCUCCGGGGCUCCUCUCUGCACGGACCCCACCUGAAGCUGCUUUCCUGCCCCAGGACAGCCCACCCCAGGCAGGCUCCAACUGCAGCAUUUUCUAGAAGUGUGAGAACUCUUCCCAACGUGCUACCUGGCUCUGUGGCUCCCCAGUCAACACAAACACAAUUUUGAGGUCUGCAGUUCAAAUUUGCUUCCCCUACAAACUUCUGAGCUGGGUUCAGAGGGCAAAAAGGCCCAAGUUUCCAAGUCAAUUGGAAACCCUCCAAGCCAAGACCCGUCUGCAUACACCAACUUUACCAAAGAUUUUCCUUCUCACUAAGACAACAGAAGAUAAAGCCUCUGCUCUGCUCUU
Molecule: long non-coding RNA, 3446 nt
Organism: Nomascus leucogenys (northern white-cheeked gibbon)
Lineage: Eukaryota; Metazoa; Chordata; Mammalia; Primates; Hylobatidae
Exons: 2
Source: RefSeq, a predicted model, not a curated record